GUCUACGGCCAUACCACUCUGAACGUGCUGAUCUCAUCUGAUCUUGGAAGCUAAGCAGAGUUGGGCCUGGUUAGUACUUGGAUGGGAGGCAAAACAAUAGGAAUUCAACAAUGGUUGUUAUAUUGC
This 126-nucleotide ribosomal RNA is filed under the name Octodon degus (degu). The record is from RNAcentral. Lineage: Eukaryota; Metazoa; Chordata; Mammalia; Rodentia; Octodontidae.